RNAcentral lists this ribosomal RNA (468 nucleotides) under uncultured bacterium. RNAcentral describes it as "partial 16S ribosomal RNA". It matches the Rfam family "Bacterial small subunit ribosomal RNA", at positions 28 to 507 of the family's 1533-position model. The record is from RNAcentral.
GACGAACGCUGGCGGCGUGCUUAACACAUGCAAGUCGAACGGACAGGCCCUGCUUUUGUGGGGUGCUCGAGUGGCGAACGGGUGAGUAACACGUGAGUAACCUGCCCUUGUCUUUGGGAUAACUUCAGGAAACUGGGGCUAAUACCGGAUAGGAGCUACUGCUGCAUGGUGGGGGUUGGAAAGUGUCGGCGGUUGGGGCUGGAAUCGCGGCUUAUGAGCUUGUUUGUGGGGUUGUGGCUUUCCAAGGCUUUGACGGGUAGGCGGCCUGAGAGGGUGACCGGCCACAAUGGGACUGAGAUACGGCCCAGACGCCUACGGGAGGCAGCGGUGGGGAAUAUGGCACAGUGGGCGGAAGCCUGAUACAGCGACGCCGCGUGCGGGAUGACGGCUUUCGGGUUGUAAACCGCUGUCGCCUGUGACGAAGCGGGAGUGACGGUAAUGGGUAAAGAAGCACCGGCUAACUACGUG